Molecule: RNA transcript, 6644 nt
Organism: Orcinus orca (killer whale)
Lineage: Eukaryota; Metazoa; Chordata; Mammalia; Artiodactyla; Delphinidae
Gene name: hyaluronidase-like
Exons: 4
Source: RefSeq, a predicted model, not a curated record
CCUGCAGGUAAAAAAUAAAUCUAUUGAUGCCAUGUGGCUUCUACAGGGCUCCAGCUUUCAUGCAAACAAGACAUGCCUUGAGAGAAAAUUUCACCUAUGUCUGGAAUGCCCCACAGCACAUUGUAAGAAGCUCUAUGAUGUUAUUAUAAACCUUUGUUGGUUUAAAGUUGUUGUAAACCGCAGUGUGAUUUUUUACUGGAUCCUAAGUUAAUUAAGUGUUAUCAUAAUGAACUUAGUGGUUGUUGAUUUCAUCAUAUGUAAAAAACAUAUCUAACUGGGAGACGUCACAAAGUUUACUGUCAUUGAGUGGAAAGAAUGAAAUCCCCAAUUACAUAUGAAUUUGGAGAUAUAUAUAGACAUAUAUAUCUGUAUAUAUGUCUCUAUACACACACCACACACACACACGUGUGUGUUUAGAACAAUGUUAAUUGGUUCACAUUUUAGUUGAAGAACAUGCAUAACAAAAAGCUAAACCACAUCUUUUUCACCUUUGACACUGUCCUGGGCGGAAUUGAAAGUGAGGCCCACAGAACUCUGAAUGCUAUUGGCAAAAUGAUGUCCCUUUCCCAAUACUUCUCACUACAGAAUAUCUAAGAUACCAAUGACAAGUAGGAGGCUGUAAUUGGAACUGAUGACUUACCUCCCUUUAGGACUCCAUGAGAAUGCAUUCCAUCAUACCUUUAACACAUAAAGCCCAAACUCCCAGGUUAUUUUUAUCACUUGUAUUUUCAUCUAUACCCUGUCAUGGAGCCAAAUUCACAUCCCUCCCUGACCUGACAAACCUGUCCAUUAUAUCCUCUGUAAUUUAAAAUCUGUAGUCAAGAAAAUCCCCUAGAUCAUACAUCUCUUUUUCUGAAUGGUCACUUAACUUUCUUGAUAUAACAGAAAACUGGCUGUCUUCUGCUUCCCCUGCAGCAUUCUUUUUAAGUUUAUUCUUUAAUUAUGGUAAAGUAAACAUACAAUCAACUUACCAUUUUAAUGAUUUUUCAAAUGUACAGUUCAGUGAUAUUAAGUACAUUCACAUUGUUGUACAAUCAUCUCCACUGUCUACCUCCUGGACUUGUUUCCCUGAAGCCCUCUUGAUUGAUGGUUAUUUUCUCUCUCACCUGUCACCUCCCAUUGGACAGGGAAGGAGCAGGUGUCCCCUCAUUACUGUUUGGGACCAUUGCCCUUCCAUUCGCUACUUAUUGGACAACCCCAAUUUACUGAAGCGUAUGGCAUCAGUUUAAACUGAACAUCAGGCCAAACCACUCAGAGCUGCAUCUUCCACAGAUCGCUAGUUGCAAUGACCAGAUUUUAGCACUUUGGUCACUCGAUAUAGAGUUAAAUUCAAAGUUCAAUUUAAAAAAGUUAAUAUUUUUCUUUUUUCUUUGGCUUAAAUCCUUUGGGAACAUAUCUGUCAUGAGAGAAGGGAGGUAUGUUUUGCUUCUUCUCCAUUGUCUUUCUUCCAAAUACUAGGCUGCUGCUGGCUCCUUCAGGGUGGAAGAGGGGAUGGAGUGGCUUCAGGGAGAAGCAGGAAAUGUUUACUUGAGAAGUAUCAAUCUAUAAUUGAAUCUUUAAACCUGACUUUUGUCUUAUGAGGGCUUUCAUGGCAAAACAAGAGAAAAAGUUAAAAGACGAUGAGAAACUGGGAAAUACUUCAUGCUACUUAAUGGAACCACAUAAUAUAUUUCAUAAUAUAUUUCACAAACUCCUUAUUGAUCACAUAUGUAUGUUGUUUCUAGCUUUUCUCUAUUGCAAAUAUAGCUCCCAUGAACACAAUUUUGUCAAUGUUUUCCCAUUUAAAUCGAUUUUAUUUUUUAAAGAAUUUUUAAGUUCACAGCAAAACUGAGCAGAAAGAGUUUUCCUACCUCCCCCCACCCCGUCUCCACACAUGCACAGCCGCCCCCGCUGUCAGUAUCCCGCAUCAGAACGGUACAUUACAGUCGGUGAACGUAGAGGGAUGCAUCAUCAUCACCCAAAGUCUACAGUCUACAUUAGGGUUAACUCUUGAUGUUGUACAUUUUACAACAUCAGGGUUUUGAAAAAUGACAUGAAUCCACAAUUGUCGUAUCAUAUAGAAUAGUUUCACUGCCCUAGAAGUCCACGGAUUUUUUUUUUUUUUUUUCGGUACGCGGACCUCUCACUGUUGUGGCCUCUCCCGUUGUGGAGCAAGGCUCUGGACGCGCAGGCUCAGCGGCCAUGGCUCACGGGCCUAGCCGCUCCGCGGCAUGUGGGAUCUUCCCGGACCAGGGCACGAACCCGUGUCCCCUGCAUCGGCAGGCGGACUCUCAACCACUAUGACACCAGGGAAGCCCCACUGAUUUUUUUUUUUUACUGUCUCCGUUGCCUUUUCCAGCAGGUUAUAUACUGAGAAUACUUUUCAGAUUGGUUUCUUUCACUUAGUAAUAUGCACUUCAUGGCUUGAUAGCACAUUUCUUUUCAAGGCUGAAUAAUAUGCCAUUGUCUGAAUGUACCACAGUUUAUUCAUCCAUUCACCUGUUGAAGGGCCUCUUAGCGGCUUCCAACUUUUGGCAGUUAUGAUUAAAGCUGCAUUCUUGUGCAGGUUUUUGUGUGGACAUAAGUUUUUAAGUAAUUUGGGUAAAUACCAAGGAGCAAAAUUUCUCUAUCAAAUUGUAAGAGUAUAUUUAGCGUUGUAAAAAACUGGCAAACUGUCUUCCAAAUUAGCUGUUGCAUUUUGCAUAUCUUCUUUAGGGAGGUGUCUAUUCAGAUCUUUUCCCUUUUAAAAUCAGGUUGUUGGGUUUUAAGAGUUUUUGGUAGAUUUUGGAUAAUAAUCUUUUAUCAGAUAUGCUUUUUGCAAAUAUUCUCUCCCAGUCUUCAGCUUGUCUUUUCAUUCUCUUGAUAUCAUCUUUCACAGAGCAGAAGUCUUUAAUUUUCCCAAAGUCCAGCUGUUCAUUCAAUAAGUUUAGGAGGAAAAGAAACAUAGCACCAUGACAAAAAGUUGGAGGAUCUCAGAGGUCUCUAACCUGCCUCUCACUCAGACAUGGCUCUUUUCUUACCUGCUUUAGCACUUUUUGAUGGGGCUCUCCCCAUUCCAGAAGGAAAACUGCCCUAUGGGGACAGUAUUAAUCCCUGGAAAGUUCUUGAGUAUGUUGAGUCUACUCUGCCUCUGGAUAACUUCAUACCACUACUAGUUCUAAUUCUAACUUCUCGUGAAACACAGAAUAAAUCAAAUCCUUAUUUCAAAAGUCAGUUCUCCAGGUAUUUGAAGACACCAGUCAUGCCUACCAAAGUCUUCUCAAUAAGUUAUUCCUCAAGUAACAGAUCUCUCAAAUCAUGUCACUUUCUCAAAUCCUUUUGGGAAAAAGACUAGGUUAUAUUUAUUCAUUCAAAAAAUAUUUAUUGAGUUGCUACAGUAUGUCAGAUAAAAUAUGUUAUUAAUAAUAUUGAGUAGAAAAUAAUAAUAAUCCAUGCAGAUAGUUUGUCUUGAUAGAAAAUGAGAGAAUGAGAUGAGCCAUAUUUUAAUGAAAGUCUUUUUCAUAACUUUCCCAUUUUUUGGUACUUUUUGAUUUUGGAAGUAAAUUAUGGGCUAAAUAAAUGAGCUCUACUUCAGAAGACUAAAACUCUAGUAUUACCUGAAUAAUAGUAUAUUGAAGUGUUUUAAUACUAUCUUGUUGCUUUCCAUUUUUCACAUAUCAACAAAGAGUAUGGAUCUUUCUCAUUUAUUGUCUAAAUAACAUUUAUUAUGUUAUCAUAAUAUCAUUAUGUUCUUCAUAUUAUAAUUACAAAAUCACUUAAAACCAACUCUGCUGAAUAUUUUCUUUCCAGUGUCUCAAUUUAACUGAGAGACUUGAUUUUCAUUUAAUGAACAGAAUACUAGUUAGUAUAAUGGAAGAAUGAUUUUCUUUCUUGUUUCAUUACUUUGACAAAUUGUGAAACACAAGUACUAGUGUUAGUAGAGACUUCAUACAAUGCAGAGGAGCUUUGCUGUAGCAUGGCCACUUUCUCAUUCUGGCUUUUGAACACUUUGCCUUUCUACUGGAUCUCUGAUUCUCCACUCCUUGUAGGGAAGGAAAGAAUGCAGAUGGUCCGUCAAUCAUUCCCUCUGUCUUUCAUCUCUCCUUAUUUCCUGCUUCUUUACUCUUGGUCUAUAAUCAUGAAUGUAACCUCCUCUCUUUCUCAUCUUGGUGAAUUAUAAUCUAUUUAGUCACCCAACUUGAGAGUCACUUGGCUGCCUCCCCUCUCUUUCCAUUACCCAGUAGGUAACUAAAACUAAUCCAUCUUAAUUUCCAAAUAACUGUUCAGUCUGUCUCCUCUGCUUUACAAGGACUGACCUUGCCUUUGUUGAGGCCCUCAUCUUUUCUCACUGAACAGUUUCCAUCAUCUCCUAUUUGGGGUCCCUGCCUGCCAUCUUGACUUCCCCCUCCAAUAAGAUUUUUUGUGACAGCCAAAAAUACCUAUCAGAGUUGCAAAUGGGGACUUCCCGGGUGGCACAGUGGUUAAGAAUCUGCCUGCCAAUGCAGGGGACAUGGGUUCCAUCCCUGAUCUGGGAAGAUCCCACAUGCUGAGGAGCAACUAAGCCCGUGCGCCACAACUACUGAGCCUGUGCUGUAGAGCCCACGAGCCACAACUACUGAACCCAUGCACCACAACUACUGAAGCCCACACACCUAGAGCCUGUGCUCCACAACAAGAGAAGCCACCACAAUGAGAAGCUCACACACCACAAUGAAGAGUAGCCUCUGCUCGCCACAACUAGAGAAAGCCUGGGUGCAGCAACGAAGACCCAACACAGCCAAAAAUAAAUAAAUGAAAUAAAAUAAAUAAAUUUAUUUUUAAAAAGUUGCAAAUGUGUUGUCUUCCAGUACUAAAACUUUCUUGUAGCUAAACCCUAGGACUUUAAAAUAGCGUAAUAAAAUAAAAUAGCAUAAAAGACACUUGUAUUUGGAUCCUACUUAUAUACAAUGAUUCAGAUGCCUUUACUUCUCCCCAAGUCCCCUGUGCUUUUUACCGUAAGAGUUACUGGCACGUCUCUGGAUGGAUCAUGCUUUUUCGUACAUAUGAGCCUCUGCCAUUUUUCUUCCUUCUGGAUAUAAAACUCUGCUCUCUCUAGUCUAUUUUAUCAAUUUAUACUCAUUUCCAAAGACCCUUCUAAAAUUUCACCUCUUGAAGGAAGUCUUCCCAGACUUUUCCAUGCAGCAUUAAGCACUUCCUCUAAUCUAUAUAUAUCUUGUUGGUGCUAAUAUGUAAUUUAAUUUGUUACGCUGUAGUUAUAUAUGUCUGUCUCAAUCAUCACAGUAAAGCACUCCCUCAAGAACAGGAACUGGAAUCUAUUUCAUUUUUAUAUUCCUAGUGUCUAGAAUAUUGCCUGGAGCAUCAUAAAUAUUUAUCAGGAGGACUUAGUACAUGCAGUUGGUGAGAGUGCAGCAUUGGGGACGGCAGGAAUAAUAUUGUGGGGAGGAUAUGAAUAUUCUGAUUCAAAGCUGACUUUGGACAUGUUCAGUUGGUGGCCUGUCACACUACCUAAGUGAAAAUUCUGAAACCACAGUUUUUCCUCACUUCUAGGAGACCUGCUUGUCUGUGCAAAAAUUCAUUCAAGGGCCAUUGGACCGUUAUGCUGUUAAUGUGACAACAGCAGCCAAACUCUGCAAAGUCUAUGUCACAAUAAUGGAAGAUGUGUUCGAAAAGCACCUGAAUCCUCCUCCUAUCUGCAUAUGCCUGAAAGUAGCAGUAAGAAAUAUGCCCUAAGAGCUUGAGAGUCAUCAUUUCUCCAGCCAAUAAACUGAAGACGAUAAAGGACAUGAAGGAUGGGCUUGUGUGUCACUGCUGUCAUGGCUGGCAUGGAGAGUCUUGCCAGCAACGUUCUUUGGAUGUCCUGAGAGGGAAGGAUAAGCCUCCUAUGGCUAACUUUAAAUUAUCGGUUUCUCUGCAUGACCUUCUCUGCGAUUCUGUUGAUUUUUUUUACCCCCUACGACAACGUCAAUAUUUCCUUGAAAUACUGAAGGGUAGGAGAUGCUGAUUUUUUUUCUUUAACUUCAAUCUACUUCUAAAAUAUCUGUUGGCUUUAAAGUAAAAUAAAUAAAUAAAUAAAGGGUAUUCAUUGGCUCCAUAGAGCCAUUAGAUAGAGCAAUUAUUUAUUGGGUGCUUACUUCAUGCGAGGCACUAAGGAUAAGGAUGUGAAUGUACCGAAGUCUCUGUCCUUGGGGAGCUUAAAUUAUUGUGGGAAAAUGAACUAUAAUAAAUAAACAAAUACGUUUAUAUCAAAUGGUGCUAAGUGCAGUGGAGGCUGACAAAGCAGGGUAAAGGGAUUAGGGAGUGUGGGAGAGCUCUGGAAAUUACAUCUAAGGUCGUGAAAUGUGGCUCCCUAAUGAGAGGACCUGAAGGCAGGAGGCGCAGAUCACAGAUGUGUCUGAGAAGGGCAUUCUGGGAUUAGGGAAGAGCAAAUGCAAAAGUCGUUAAGUGGGAGCAGGUUUGGAGGGUUUCAGGGCCUCAAGAAGGCCACUGUGGCUGAUGCAGGAUGAAGAGUGAGCCAGGUCAUUAACUGACUCUAUCUGAACUAAGAGUUUGAGUGAAGGUAACUUUAAAAAAAUAAGAGAAAUUUCUGGAAGAAAAUGGGUCAAGUAAGAUGUAUCUACAUUUUAUUAUUUUUUUAAAAAAUAAAUAUACACUUAAAUUGGACAGCAACAGGAGCAUCUAUUAUGAUU